AAUAUUGCGCAAUGGGCGAAAGCCUGACGCAGCCAUACCGCGUGUGUGAAGAAGGGUUUAGGCUCGUAAAGCACUUUAAGUAGGGAGGAAGGCCUGUAAAUUAAUACUUUGCAGGAUUGACGUUACCUACAGAAUAAGCACCGGCUAACUCCGUGCCAGCAGCCGCGGUAAUACGGAGGGUGCAAGCGUUAAUCGGAAUUACUGGGCGUAAAGCGCGCGUAGGCGGUUUGUUAAGCGAGAUGUGAAAGCCCAGGGCUCAACCUUGGAACUGCAUUUCGAACUGGCAGGCUAGAGUACAAGAGAGGGUGGUAGAAUUUCCUGUGUAGCGGUGAAAUGCGUAGAUAUAGGAAGGAAUACCAGUGGCGAAGGCGGCCACCUGGCUUGAUACUGACGCUGAGGUGCGAAAGCGUGGGGAGCGAACAGGAUUAGAUACCCUGGUAGUCCACGCCGUA
This 452-nucleotide ribosomal RNA is filed under the name uncultured marine bacterium. RNAcentral's name for it is "bacterial SSU rRNA". It matches the Rfam family "Bacterial small subunit ribosomal RNA", at positions 360 to 804 of the family's 1533-position model. The record is from RNAcentral.